This 1348-nucleotide ribosomal RNA is filed under the name Mycoplasmopsis arginini. RNAcentral describes it as "Mycoplasma arginini 16S ribosomal RNA". It matches the Rfam family "Bacterial small subunit ribosomal RNA", at positions 93 to 1440 of the family's 1533-position model. Lineage: Bacteria; Bacillati; Mycoplasmatota; Mycoplasmoidales; Metamycoplasmataceae. The record is from RNAcentral.
UAGCGGCGAAUGGGUGAGUAACACGUGCUUAAUCUACCCUUUAGAUUGGAAUACCCAAUGGAAACAUUGGCUAAUGCCGGAUACGCAUGGAAUCGCAUGAUUCCGUUGUGAAAGGAGCCUUUAAAGCUCCGCUAGAGGAUGAGGGUGCGGAACAUUAGUUAGUUGGUAGGGUAAUGGCCUACCAAGACUAUGAUGUUUAGCCGGGUCGAGAGACUGAACGGCCACAUUGGGACUGAGAUACGGCCCAAACUCCUACGGGAGGCAGCAGUAGGGAAUAUUCCACAAUGAGCGAAAGCUUGAUGGAGCGACACAGCGUGCACGAUGAAGGUCUUCGGAUUGUAAAGUGCUGUUAUAGGGAAAGAACACCUGGUUGAGGAAAUGCUUCCAGGCUGACGGUACCCUGUCAGAAAGCGAUGGCUAACUAUGUGCCAGCAGCCGCGGUAAUACAUAGGUCGCAAGCGUUAUCCGGAAUUAUUGGGCGUAAAGCGUUCGUAGGCUGUUUAUUAAGUCUGGAGUCAAAUCCCAGGGCUCAACCCUGGCUCGCUUUGGAUACUGGUAAACUAGAGUUAGAUAGAGGUAAGCGGAAUUCCAUGUGAAGCGGUGAAAUGCGUAGAUAUAUGGAAGAACACCAAAGGCGAAGGCAGCUUACUGGGUCUAUACUGACGCUGAGGGACGAAAGCGUGGGGAGCAAACAGGAUUAGAUACCCUGGUAGUCCACGCCGUAAACGAUGAUCAUUAGUCGGUGGAGAGUUCACUGACGCAGCUAACGCAUUAAAUGAUCCGCCUGAGUAGUAUGCUCGCAAGAGUGAAACUUAAAGGAAUUGACGGGGACCCGCACAAGCGGUGGAGCAUGUGGUUUAAUUUGAAGAUACGCGGAGAACCUUACCCACUCUUGACAUCCUUCGCAAUGCUAUAGAGAUAUAGCGGAGGUUAACGGAGUGACAGAUGGUGCAUGGUUGUCGUCAGCUCGUGUCGUGAGAUGUUUGGUCAAGUCCUGCAACGAGCGCAACCCCUAUCUUUAGUUACUAACGAGUCAUGUCGAGGACUCUAGAGAUACUGCCUGGGUAACUGGGAGGAAGGUGGGGAUGACGUCAAAUCAUCAUGCCUCUUACGAGUGGGGCAACACACGUGCUACAAUGGNCGGUACAAAGAGAAGCAAUAUGGCGACAUGGAGCAAAUCUCAAAAAGCCGAUCUCAGUUCGGAUUGGAGUCUGCAAUUCGACUCCAUGAAGUCGGAAUCGCUAGUAAUCGCAGAUCAGCUACGCUGCGGUGAAUACGUUCUCGGGUCUUGUACACACCGCCCGUCACACCAUGGGAGCUGGUAAUACCCAAAGUCGGUUAGCUAACC